Molecule: transfer RNA, 72 nt
Filed under: Allomyces macrogynus ATCC 38327
Lineage: Eukaryota; Fungi; Blastocladiomycota; Blastocladiomycetes; Blastocladiales; Blastocladiaceae
Description: tRNA-Ala (CGC) (tRNA-Ala-CGC-5-1)
Rfam family: tRNA
About the family: Transfer RNA (tRNA) molecules are approximately 80 nucleotides in length. Their secondary structure includes four short double-helical elements and three loops (D, anti-codon, and T loops). Further hydrogen bonds mediate the characteristic L-shaped molecular structure. tRNAs have two regions of fundamental functional importance: the anti-codon, which is responsible for specific mRNA codon recognition, and the 3' end, to which the tRNAs corresponding amino acid is attached (by aminoacyl-tRNA synthetases). tRNAs cope with the degeneracy of the genetic code in two manners: having more than one tRNA (with a specific anti-codon) for a particular amino acid; and 'wobble' base-pairing, i.e. permitting non-standard base-pairing at the 3rd anti-codon position.
Source: Rfam by way of RNAcentral
GGGGGUUUAGCUCCGGGUCAGGCCACUCACUUCGCAUGCGAGAGGCCGGGGGAUCGAUCCCCCCAACCUCCA